This is a long non-coding RNA of Myxocyprinus asiaticus (Chinese sucker), 3015 nucleotides long. RefSeq lists it as uncharacterized. The record is from RefSeq and is a predicted model, not a curated record. Lineage: Eukaryota; Metazoa; Chordata; Actinopteri; Cypriniformes; Catostomidae. The transcript is spliced from 2 exons.
UCUACCAUUCAUUUUAACAGAAGAGACCCGUCUCGGCUUAUAAAAUAAAGGGAAAGGCCGUGCUGUAAUACCACAGUUAUCCUGCAUGUGGCAGUAAGAGGCGCGUCGCUUUAAGAUCCAAACGGCACAGGAAAUUAGUUCAUCAGCCGGAGACGAGAUACACACGAAAAACGAUAACAAAUGGUGAAAUUCUUCAAUUAAUCGGGAUUUCUGAGCCGAUUUCUCAUCUGAACGAGUGCGUCUGUGGAGCCACAUCGGACUGAGUCGAUUGUGUGAUUUUAUUGCCUGUAAAAUGUCGUUUUUGUUCCCAAGCGGCAGCGCGGAAAAGCGCAAAUCAACCAAGAGACAAUUCACAGAGUAUCAACAUUGACAAACAUGGGUGUAGAUUCAGAUACCAACAGAUUCUCCACUGGAACAUUGUGUACUUGGGAACGAUAGCUGAUGCCAGCACAGAAAUCCUGCCUGAUAAGACUAUGAGUUCUGCUGCUGUACAGAAUACAGGUCCAUUGGUUUGUUUUUCUGUUCACAAGAAUAUCGGUGAAAUAUCUUAAUAUAUAUCGGUAAAGUAAUUAUGGGUCAGUGUAUCACGCUUAUAUUUCCUUUUUUCAAAUAUUCCAGCGAAUUUUGUACAAAAUAAUUGUUCCUUUCAUUUCUGCAUUGUUGCACGUCCUUACAUAAUUUUUUUUAUUUUUCUAAACAGACUCUUUGUGAAAAUAAAGUCACAUUGGCUGCAAUCAAAGACACUUCAGAUGUUACGGAUAGCAGCAAUGAAUGUUCACUUCUGUCCCAACUUUGUGCAUUAUAAUGUACAUAAUUUAAUUUCUAUUUAAAUGCUGUGUAAAUAAAUGUAUAAAGAGAAACUCUUUAGAAAUGUUAUGUAUAUAACCAGGCCCUCAAAGACAGCCAUCAUUCACAAUGUACUUACACAUCCCCCUUCCAUUAGCAUGUUUGUUCAUUAAAUUUUGUUUUUGCUAAUUCGAUAAUGCUUUCAGCUAUUAAAGAGUGUAGUACUCUAAGCUUUAAAACAUUUGACCAUUUUUGCAGACUCCUCCAAUAUCAGCUCAGAAAAUGCUAUUUUCAAGAGCAUUGUUCGCCCAGAUCAUAUUUAAACACAGUAAGCUGUCCAUUAGGCCUAGAAUAUACUUCCUGCCCCUGGUCUGGGCUUACAUAUAACAUUUAAAAUAACAUGCGUGCGAGAGUAUGAAAUGAAAGCAGACUUUUGUAAUGUUAUUUAUUAAUUUUUUGCAUUGCUGGUACACUUGGAAAUGGUCAGUUGCCAGCUCUAGUGAACAAUAAGCAACGAAAGCCAAGCAGCCGCCCCUCAUGUCUUCGGUCAGGGCAACAUCACAUCUUUUUUUUUUUAAACUCCUUUAAUUUUGUUGAAGCCACUAGUAAACCAUUUUGACAGCUGAGAAAGGUUAAGCGUUACAGUCCAAGGUCAUUGUAGAUGUUUUUUCUUAAACAAACAAAAAUGCAACAGUUUGGGAGAACAAACACUGACAAAGCAACAAACCUACAUUUUGAUUGUGCAAAGCACAGAACUAUAAAAAGAUAUAUUUAUAUACAGCAAACGAUUCUCUGUAAACAUGUUAAGUAUGUUAGUUUUUCAGAAAACAUGGUCAUAUCAUAAAUACAGGCAACAUUGGCAUCGGCAAACGUCACAAAAAAAAAAAUAAAAAAAUUUAACAUUCUGGGCUUUUAAGAUCCAGCCUGAUACCACAGAAACCAAAGGAAUCUGGGUAAAAAACAAAAACAAAAAAACAACACCCCAAUCCUACCAGGACCAUUUAUUAGUGUUUAUAAUGGCGUAUUUGGUAACCUCUGCAGAAAGAAGAUACAGUUAAACUCUAUAGGAAAGAAAAAAUGUGCUUCACAUCUUGGGAAAAUUAUGUUUUAAUAAUAAGCCUAUAUUUCGCUAGCAUAUACAGUAAUGGUAUAAUGUGUAAGAAAAUACAAAAAUAAGAUUAAUACUGUCAAUAUUUGUACAAGAAAUAUAUUGUAUUUGAAAGGAAUAACAUUUUAUCUUUAUUGUAUGUGUUAGUGUCUUUCGGAAGGAAGCCAAACGGAAAAACAAAAGCACAUGGAGGAUUUUGGCCAUACAAAUUUUUUUCUACAUAUGUAUAACUACUACUACAGCUCCCAAACGGCAUUUCUUUAUAUUUCAAGCACUUUAUAUUUCAUUUCCCCCUUCUAAACAAUACUUUGGUUAGAGAAAAUACCUGCAAGUGCUAUUCAAAACAACAUGGCACACAGUUUACUUACUAACAUCCUUUUUUCCAUUUUUAUUUUUAUUUUUAAUCUGUCAGAUGUUGAAAAAAAGUAGUAUAUUUCUUUCAAAUGACACCUCUGCUAUGAUUAUUAUAUUUCUGCUGAGCCUGCUCAAAGCCUCUUCAUAAAAAGUAAAUAUUUAUAGUUAUUUUUUUUUCUUUUCUAUUUUGAGUCAUAUACAAGCUAUGGAACAGUUAGCUGCGAGCUGCAUUCUGGCUCAUCCGACAUGAGAUUUGGCAGUUACAGCUAUUUAAACACAGUAUUGUUAUGGGGGCAUGUCCGGUUAUCGAACCAGGACAUCCCAAAUCUUCGUAAUGCGGCUGCAGUAGCGCGCUAUGAGUGAGGACAAUGGCCAUGCAAAUCAAAAACUUGUCUCGGGAAACACAGCGUGUAAACGCAAACCUGCAACACCCAGCAUGACUGAGGACUUCUAGAAAGAACGAGAAUUUAGUACAAGGCGCUUUGCGCUGUUGGUUCAAAGUUCUAGAAUGUGUUUCAGUGGUGCUAUGGAAAUCGGGCUAAACCGGCUGCCAGUGUAAUGGUCUGACUAGCUGCUUUGAACAUGAAUCAUGUAUUGUUUUGGACAGCAUGAAAGGCAGUUACGUUUGUUUGGGGGAUUUUCACACGCAUGUGUGUACAAAAAUGUAAUUAACCACUAACUUUAAAUGCAAAUUUCCCUAUAAAAACACUAAAAAUCUAAUUUACAAGGUUGGAGUCUUGACCAGAGUCGUGUAGUUUUGCGCAAAA